This 497-nucleotide ribosomal RNA is filed under the name uncultured bacterium. RNAcentral's name for it is "partial 16S ribosomal RNA". It matches the Rfam family "Bacterial small subunit ribosomal RNA", at positions 28 to 507 of the family's 1533-position model. The record is from RNAcentral.
GAUGAACGCUGGCGGCGUGCCUAAUACAUGCAAGUCGAGCGAACAGACGAGGAGCUUGCUCCUCUGACGUUAGCGGCGGACGGGUGAGUAACACGUGGAUAACCUACCUAUAAGACUGGGGUAACUUCGGGAAACCGGAGCUAAUACCGGAUAACAUGUUGAACCGCAUGGUUCAACAGUGAAAGACGGUUUUGCUGUCACUUAUAGAUGGAUCCGCGUCGCAUUAGCUAGUUGGUAAGGUAACGGCUUACCAAGGCAACGAUGCGUAGCCGACCUGAGAGGGUGAUCGGCCACACUGGAACUGAGACACGGUCCAGACUCCUACGGGAGGCAGCAGUAGGGAAUCUUCCGCAAUGGGCGAAAGCCUGACGGAGCAACGCCGCGUGAGUGAAGAAGGUCUUCGGAUCGUAAAACUCUGUUAUUAGGGAAGAACAAAUGUGUAAGUAACUAUGCACGUCUUGACGGUACCUAAUCAGAAAGCCACGGCUAACUACGUG